This 429-nucleotide ribosomal RNA is filed under the name bacterium. RNAcentral describes it as "partial 16S ribosomal RNA". It matches the Rfam family "Bacterial small subunit ribosomal RNA", at positions 355 to 776 of the family's 1533-position model. The record is from RNAcentral.
UAGGGAAUCUUCCACAAUGGACGCAAGUCUGAUGGAGCAACGCCGCGUGAGUGAAGAAGGUUUUCGGAUCGUAAAGCUCUGUUGUUGGUGAAGAAGGAUAGAGGCAGUAACUGGUCUUUAUUUGACGGUAGUCAACCAGAAAGUCACGGCUAACUACGUGCCAGCAGCCGCGGUAAUACGUAGGUGGCAAGCGUUGUCCGGAUUUAUUGGGCGUAAAGCGAGCGCAGGCGGAAUGAUAAGUCUGAUGUGAAAGCCCACGGCUCAACCGUGGAACUGCAUCGGAAACUGUCAUUCUUGAGUGCAGAAGAGGAGAGUGGAAUUCCAUGUGUAGCGGUGGAAUGCGUAGAUAUAUGGAAGAACACCAGUGGCGAAGGCGGCUCUCUGGUCUGCAACUGACGCUGAGGCUCGAAAGAAUGGGUAACGAACAGG